CAGGGAAUCUUGCGCAAUGGGCGGAAGCCUGACGCAGCGACGCCGCGUGGGGGACGAAGGCCCAUGGGUCGUAAACCCCUUUUGUCGGGAAAGAGGAAGGACGGUACCCGGCGAAUAAGCCUCGGCUAACUACGUGCCAGCAGCCGCGGUAAUACGUAGGAGGCAAGCGUUGUCCGGAUUUACUGGGCGUAAAGGGCGCGUAGGCGGCCGGGCUUGUCCGCUGUGAAAUCUCCCUGCUCAACGGGGAGGGGUCAGCGGAGUACGGUCCGGCUUGAGGCCAGUAGAGGCGGGUGGAAUUCCCGGAGGAGCGGUGAUAUGCGUAGAUUUCGGGAGGAACACCGGAGGCGAAAGCGGCCCGCUGGGCUGGUCCUGACACUGAGGUACGAAAGCGUGGGGAGCAAACAGG
RNAcentral lists this ribosomal RNA (406 nucleotides) under uncultured bacterium. Its description in RNAcentral is "bacterial SSU rRNA". It matches the Rfam family "Bacterial small subunit ribosomal RNA", at positions 355 to 776 of the family's 1533-position model. The record is from RNAcentral.